Molecule: non-coding RNA, 45 nt
Filed under: Echinostoma caproni
Lineage: Eukaryota; Metazoa; Platyhelminthes; Trematoda; Plagiorchiida; Echinostomatidae
Source: RNAcentral
GCACUGCUGACGAGUCCCAAACGGGACGAACCAGCUGUCCAGUGC